Molecule: ribosomal RNA, 497 nt
Filed under: uncultured bacterium
Lineage: Bacteria
Description: partial 16S ribosomal RNA
Rfam family: Bacterial small subunit ribosomal RNA
Source: RNAcentral
GAUGAACGCUGGCGGCGUGCCUAAUACAUGCAAGUCGAGCGAACGGACGAGAAGCUUGCUUCUCUGAUGUUAGCGGCGGACGGGUGAGUAACACGUGGAUAACCUACCUAUAAGACUGGGAUAACUUCGGGAAACCGGAGCUAAUACCGGAUAAUAUUAUGAACCGCAUGGUUCAAAAGUGAAAGACGGUCUUGCUGUCACUUAUAGAUGGAUCCGCGCUGCAUUAGCUAGUUGGUAAGGUAACGGCUUACCAAGGCAACGAUGCAUAGCCGACCUGAGAGGGUGAUCGGCCACACUGGAACUGAGACACGGUCCAGACUCCUACGGGAGGCAGCAGUAGGGAAUCUUCCGCAAUGGGCGAAAGCCUGACGGAGCAAUGCCGCGUGAGUGAUGAAGGUCUUCGGAUCGUAAAACUCUGUUAUUAGGGAAGAACAUAUGUGUAAGUAACUGUGCACAUCUUGACGGUACCUAAUCAGAAAGCCACGGCUAACUACGUG